Molecule: ribosomal RNA, 1913 nt
Filed under: uncultured eukaryote
Lineage: Eukaryota
Description: partial Bacterial large subunit ribosomal RNA
Rfam family: Bacterial large subunit ribosomal RNA
Source: RNAcentral
UCUCGUUUAUGCGUAGUGAAAUCGGCACUGAAAUUAUCUAGUUUUUUAUACAAAACCCGAAACAAGGUGAUCUAAUCAUGAACAAGCUGAAAAAAGAAAGGUAACUUUUUUUUGAGGGCUGUACUCGUGUAUGUGGCAAAAUACUGAGAUGAUUUGUGAUUAGGGGUGAAAGUCCAAUCAAACUUUGAGAUAGCUGGUUUUCUGCGAAAUCUAUUUUAGUAGAGUACUUAAUGCAACUUUUAAGGUAGAGUACUCUUUUAGAAAAGGGUUUUUUCUACUAAUUUUUUGGAAACUUCGAAUAUAGGUUAAUUUGUUUUAAGUAUACAGAUUUAGGGUGCUAAGAUUCUAAAUCAAAAGGGAAACAGCCCAAGAUUGAUCGUUAAGGGCCUUAAAAAUAUAUAAGUCAAAGGCCGUUAAAAACUAAAAACAUUCAGGAGGUAGGCUUGGAAGCAGUCAUCCUAUUAUGAAAGCGUAGUAGCUCACUGACCUAGGUUUUUCAUACCGAAAAUGUAAUGGGAUUAAAAAUAUUUUCCGAAGCGUCAAAAAUAUUUAUUUAUUAUGUAACCUCGUUCCGUGCGGUGUAUGUAAGCUAUCAUUGUUUUUUUACUUUAUCAGUCUGUUCAUAUUACUCACUAUGAACAUAUAUGAUAUAAUUGUAUUUGGUAGCAGAGUGUUCUGUAGGUUGUUAAAAUUAAGCUGUAAAGUUUUUUGUAAAUAUCAGAAGUAAGAAUGCUGAUAUGAGUAACGAAAAAGAGUGUUAUUUAAACAUUCUCACUGUAAAUCCAAGGUUUUCGAUGUUAAGUUAGGCUUCUUCGAAGAAAAAUUCAUCACAAAAAACGGCCCCUAAGAUAUCAGUGAAAACUGGUUUUAAUGGGUAACAGGUGUUCUGUUUUCAGGAAUGUGACAAAAAGUUAUAAAUAAAAGAUUUAUAUUUUAUUUGUUUUGUGCUGAAAAGUUAUUUUUGUGCUUAAUGCUUUUUUCAAGAAAAAGCAUUUUUUGUAAGGUACCGUACUCUAAUCUGACACAGGUGGUUGGGUUGAAUAAACUUAAGUGUAUAAGAGAAUUGCGCAAAAGGAACUCGGCAAAAAAACUCUGUAACUUCGGGACAAAGAGCAACUUUUUAUUCAAGGUAAUGACUUAAUUGUUGUCAUAUAAUCUUAAAAAGCGACUGUUUAACAAAAACACAGGUCACUGCAAAUUCGUAAGAAGACGUAUAGUGGCUGACGCCUGCCCGGUGUUGUAAGGUUAACUUUUAAUGUUUUAGCUUUGAAUUUAAGCCACAAUAAACGGCGGCUGUAACUCUGACGGUCUAAAGGUAGCGAAAUUCUUUGUCACCUAAUUAGUGACCUGCAUGAAUGGCGUAACGACUUUUUUACUGUCUCUUGCGCAAGCUUAGUGAAAUUGAAAUAACUGUGAAGAUACGGUUUUUUAAUAGCAAGACGAAAAGACCCUGGCACCUUUACUGCAGGUAUCUAUUGUAACUGUGUAUUUUUUGUAUAGAAUAAGUGGUAGUUUUUUAGGCUAAAACAUCUGUGAAAUACCACUCUUAAACUAUAUUUUUACUAACUUAAACUGGAGAGAACAGUGGGUAUUGGGUAGUUUGGCUGGGGCGGUCACCUUCCAAAUUGUAACGAAGGUGUGCAAAAGGCAAAUUCAAAGAUGCUUUUUUUUUGAUGAGUGCAAUAGCAAAAAUUUGCUUGACUGUAAGAAAUACAAUUCAAGCAGGGAUUUACGUCGGUUAUAGUGAUCUGAUGUUUUUUUAUGGAGAAAGCAUCACUUUUCGGAAAAAAGGUACGCCAGGGAUAACAGGCUAAUGAUUUUUUAGAGUUCUUAUCGACAAAAUUGUUUGGCACCUCGAUGUCGGCUUUUCACAUCCUGGAGCUGUAGUUGGUUCCAAGGGUUUGGUUGUUCGC